GGCCGCGUGGCCUAAUGGAUAAGGUGUCUGACUUCGGAUCAGAAGAUUGCAGGUUCGAAUCCUGCUGUGGUCG
RNAcentral lists this transfer RNA (73 nucleotides) under Petromyzon marinus (sea lamprey). RNAcentral's name for it is "tRNA-Arg (TCG) (tRNA-Arg-TCG-7-1)". It matches the Rfam family "tRNA". Rfam says of the family: Transfer RNA (tRNA) molecules are approximately 80 nucleotides in length. Their secondary structure includes four short double-helical elements and three loops (D, anti-codon, and T loops). The record is from RNAcentral. Lineage: Eukaryota; Metazoa; Chordata; Hyperoartia; Petromyzontiformes; Petromyzontidae.